UACGAAGGGGGCUAGCGUUGCUCGGAAUCACUGGGCGUAAAGCGCACGUAGGCGGGUCUUUAAGUCAGGGGUGAAAUCCUGGAGCUCAACUCCAGAACUGCCUUUGAUACUGAAGAUCUCGAGUCCGGAAGAGGUGAGUGGAACUCCGAGUGUAGAGGUGAAAUUCGUAGAUAUUCGCAAGAACACCAGUGGCGAAGGCGGCUAACUGGUCCGGUACUGACGCUGAGGUGCGAAAGCGUGGGGAGCAAACAGG
This 253-nucleotide ribosomal RNA is filed under the name uncultured bacterium. RNAcentral describes it as "partial 16S ribosomal RNA". It matches the Rfam family "Bacterial small subunit ribosomal RNA", at positions 524 to 776 of the family's 1533-position model. The record is from RNAcentral.